RNAcentral lists this ribosomal RNA (563 nucleotides) under Streptomyces flavovirens. RNAcentral describes it as "bacterial SSU rRNA". It matches the Rfam family "Bacterial small subunit ribosomal RNA", at positions 75 to 654 of the family's 1533-position model. Lineage: Bacteria; Bacillati; Actinomycetota; Actinomycetes; Kitasatosporales; Streptomycetaceae. The record is from RNAcentral.
GCCCUUCGGGGUGGAUUAGUGGCGAACGGGUGAGUAACACGUGGGCAAUCUGCCCUUCACUCUGGGACAAGCCCUGGAAACGGGGUCUAAUACCGGAUAACACUCUGUCCCGCAUGGGACGGGGUUAAAAGCUCCGGCGGUGAAGGAUGAGCCCGCGGCCUAUCAGCUUGUUGGUGGGGUGAUGGCCUACCAAGGCGACGACGGGUAGCCGGCCUGAGAGGGCGACCGGCCACACUGGGACUGAGACACGGCCCAGACUCCUACGGGAGGCAGCAGUGGGGAAUAUUGCACAAUGGGCGAAAGCCUGAUGCAGCGACGCCGCGUGAGGGAUGACGGCCUUCGGGUUGUAAACCUCUUUCAGCAGGGAAGAAGCGAAAGUGACGGUACCUGCAGAAGAAGCGCCGGCUAACUACGUGCCAGCAGCCGCGGUAAUACGUAGGGCGCAAGCGUUGUCCGGAAUUAUUGGGCGUAAAGAGCUCGUAGGCGGCUUGUCACGUCGGAUGUGAAAGCCCGGGGCUUAACCCCGGGUCUGCAUUCGAUACGGGCUAGCUAGAGUGUGGUAG